UACUCGAGUGGCGAACGGGUGAGUAACACGUGGGUGAUCUGCCCUUCACUUCGGGAUAAGCCUGGGAAACUGGGUCUAAUACUGGAUAGGACCAUCGUUUAGUGUCGGUGGUGGAAAGUUUUUUCGGUGGAGGAUGAGCUCGCGGCCUAUCAGCUUGUUGGUGGGGUAAUGGCCUACCAAGGCGUCGACGGGUAGCCGGCCUGAGAGGGUGUACGGCCACAUUGGGACUGAGAUACGGCCCAG
RNAcentral lists this ribosomal RNA (243 nucleotides) under uncultured Actinomycetales bacterium. RNAcentral describes it as "partial 16S ribosomal RNA". It matches the Rfam family "Bacterial small subunit ribosomal RNA", at positions 88 to 334 of the family's 1533-position model. Lineage: Bacteria; Bacillati; Actinomycetota; Actinomycetes; Actinomycetales. The record is from RNAcentral.